This is a long non-coding RNA of Amphiprion ocellaris (clown anemonefish), 2424 nucleotides long. The record is from Ensembl. Lineage: Eukaryota; Metazoa; Chordata; Actinopteri; Pomacentridae.
CUUUUUCAUGAUUUGGCACCUUGACUUGAGAUACAGAACAACUUGAGUAGGGAAGAGUAUGGUUUGGAUCAAAAUUGCUGCCUCAUUGAGGACUUUCAUUGUGAUAAUUACAGCAAAAUCAACAACUGCUUUUUUUCGUGGCCUUUUUCGGCUUUAUUUAUAGGUACAGUUGGAGAGACAGACAAGAAAGUAGGAAGAGGAGUGGGGGGAAGACAUGCAGCAAAGGACCGCAAGCGGGAAUCAAACCCAGGCCACUGCAUUGGGGACCAGCCCCUGUACAUGGUUCGCCCAUUUAACCCAUUGAGCUAUACGGGCGCCCCUGACAACUGCUUUUAAGGGUAAAAGAAACCGGUGUUGACUGACUGUAGGAAAUUUGAGAGCUGUCCUCUAAAGUCUGAUGCUUUGUGGACCCAUUCAUCUACCCCGACCUGCUCUUCCAGUGGGAUUAGUGUCUCUAUAACAUCAAUUAUUUACACUCCUUCGACAGGACAGACCAGAGUGCUCUGAUGAUCAAGCCGCCUGUCCAUCUCUCACUCCAUUUUUAUAUCACUCCUGAACAAGAUCCCGAGAUACUUCAACUUCUUCACUUGGGGAAGCAACUCCCCCCAUCCCGGAGGGAACAAUGCAAUGGUUUCCGGCAGAGAACCAUGGUUUCAGACUUGGAGGUGCUGAUCUGCAUCCCCACUGCUUCACACUCGGCUGCAAACCGCUCCAGUGUGUGCCCUGCCUCCCCUUCCUGAGGCGCCGAACAGUUUGCCAGAACUUCCUCGAGGACAACCAAAAGUCCUUCUCCAUAGCCUCUCCCAACUCCUUCCACACUUAAGUUUUUGCUUCCACAACUCCCUCAGCCAUAACCCAUAACCCAGGCGAGGUGGCGGCUUCUCCUUUUUGUGCUGUCAUCAGAGUUUUCUGAAUCACUCUUUGUCUGGUCUCUCCCUCCACAAGACCAAUUUGCUUUGGGAGACCCUACCAGGGGUGAUUGCCCUGGACAACGUAGCUCCCAGGAUCAUAGAUACACUCAAACCCCUCCAUUGCGAUAGUGUCGACGGGGGAUAAAUGUAAGCAGUGCCACACAAACUGUUGUCCAGAGACUGUUGCCAGUUUCAUUUAACACAUCAGUGCUCUUAUUUCGUACUUUUAGAACCAUUAAGAAAAUCUGGAGGAGAUUUAGGCUUUUAAUCAGUUAUAGGUGCAGUGGUUAGAUAUCAGAUGCAGAUAAUGUACUCAGAUAACAUCAAACAAAAACAUGAAUUGGCUUUUUUACUGUGAUUUUACAGUGUUUCUUUAAGCUUUAGGACUCCAGCAGGCUGUCACCAAGUGUGGCAUCAAAGUGGGUUGCUUUAGAAUAAGGAGUACAGUCAUGUAUUGUGAAUGUCUUGGUUUUGUGACACUGUGGUAAAUGUCAGUCUGUGUGACCUUUUUGGAGGCAGGAGUUUGACAGGAAAAACAGUUUCAGAGUCAUAAACAAUCCACUGAGGUGAUCUUGCAUGAGACCUUUGUCUUGUUUCUAGUUUGAUUCCUAUAUUACUAAUUGCACAGUCAAGCUGCAGAAGAUUUGGUAAGCUGAAUUAUACUCACUGCAGCAAUUAUUAUGGACAAUUUUUUGUUGUUUUUUUUAGGAAUCACCUAUGGUUUGGUGGCUUUGAUGGUUGAACAAAAAUCAUCACAGAUGCCAAAACAGUAGUUCUGCAAAAUUUCUUUUUCCCCCCUAUUAAAGGAAAUUGCCUUGAGUAAAUCUUUACAGACUGAAUGAGGAUGGCACAGAAAUAUGUGAUGAUAUCUUUCCCUUUGAGGAAAACAACACACAUACAUGCUGAAUUACAGGGAGGAAAUUAGACCAGAAAAAACAUUUGUGUGUGUGUGUAUGUAUAUGUGUGUGUGUGUGUGUGUGUGUGUGUGUGUGUGUGUGUGUGUGUGUGUGUGUGUGUGUGUGUGUGCGUUUAAGAGAGGGGACUUACAGGAAAACCACUGUCAUGUCUGUCUGGUUAGCUUAGACUAAUAUAAAGGCUGGGAAAAAAGAGAAACAACUUGCAGAGAUUUAACAAUUAAUUAGUGAGCAUUAACAAAACUGGUGGGCAGACCAAGAUGAGCUGUUUCUGCCUGUUUCUAACGGUCUGAGUGUUGUCAAUUUGGAGUCUCUAUAUUUGUUAAAAAUUUCCUUUAAAUCCCGCUAAGACAUAAUUUCUUACUGAACUUUCAGACCUAAUUAAAUGGGCAGGACAGGAUUAGCUAAUGAUAAUCAUCUGACAGAAAAGCCAAACAUAAUCAAAACGAAUGGCCACAUUUAACAUUUAUUUUUUAAUUCAAUGAAGCUUUUUGGAAUCUCACAUACACAAGCAUAAGAAAGUAGCAGCUGAGAGAAAAGACACUGUGUAUUGUAAAAUAUGUAUGUUCCUGAGGUAAAUGUUCAUUUCAAUUAUGGAU